GACAGAGGGUGCAGACGUUGUUCGGAAUUACUGGGCGUAAAGCGCGUGUAGGCGGCCCUGCAAGUCGGGUGUGAAAUCCCACGGCUCAACCGUGGAAGUGCACUCGAAACUGCAGGGCUAGAGUCCUGGAGAGGAAGGUGGAAUGCUUGGUGUAGAGGUGAAAUUCGUAGAUAUCAAGCGGAACACCGGUGGCGAAGGCGGCCUUCUGGACAGUGACUGACGCUGAGACGCGAAAGCGUGGGGAGCAAACAGG
This 253-nucleotide ribosomal RNA is filed under the name uncultured bacterium. RNAcentral describes it as "partial 16S ribosomal RNA". It matches the Rfam family "Bacterial small subunit ribosomal RNA", at positions 524 to 776 of the family's 1533-position model. The record is from RNAcentral.